CUACGGAGGGUGCAAGCGUUAUUCGGAAGCACUGGGCGUAAAGGACGCGUAGGCGGGUUGGCAAGUCAGAUGUGAAAUCCUACAGCUUAACUGUAGAACUGCAUUUGAAACUGCUAACCUAGAGUAUGGGAGGGGGAGAUGGAAUUAGUGGUGUAGGGGUAAAAUCCGUAGAUAUCACUAGGAAUACCGAAAGCGAAGGCGAUCUCCUGGAACAUAACUGACGCUAAGGCGUGAAAGCGUGGGGAGCAAACAGGAUUAGAUACCCUGGUAGUCC
This 274-nucleotide ribosomal RNA is filed under the name uncultured bacterium. RNAcentral's name for it is "partial 16S ribosomal RNA". It matches the Rfam family "Bacterial small subunit ribosomal RNA", at positions 523 to 796 of the family's 1533-position model. The record is from RNAcentral.